Molecule: long non-coding RNA, 419 nt
Filed under: Struthio camelus australis
Lineage: Eukaryota; Metazoa; Chordata; Aves; Struthioniformes; Struthionidae
Description: lncRNA (ENSSCUG00000012322.1)
Source: RNAcentral
AUCUUUGUUUUAGUCUCCAUAUAACAUUGUGCAGAGAUUUUUUUGUCAUUUUCCUAUCUGAAAGAAAGAUGAAUGUGCCUUUUAGUUUCUGGAGAUGCGGAGAAAUGUGAUGAGAAGAGGAUAGGAAAACGAAUGUACAGUCUAUCCUCUCUUUAAAUUUGAAAAAGGAGACAGUAGUCCCUACUGGAAGGGGAAGUGUCUGCAAGUCUGAAAGAAUUCCACUAGAGUUACAAGAGCACAGUGAAUGGAAAGCAUUUGUGCAGGACAGAGCUGAGAGUUUAGAGCGUAUCGCAUCCAUGCCUUUUGGUUCACAAUCCAAAGCUUAAUUCCGGCCUAGCUCAUUUCAGUUUCAUUGCCCUGGAAAGGACAUGAAGAGCUGAAGAGCGUAAAAGAUUUUUACACUAACUUUUAAGGCCUCC